AUGCGGAAGGAUCAUUACAGUAUUCUUUUGCCAGCGCUUAACUGCGCGGCGAAAAACCUUACACACAGUGUCUUUUUGAUACAGAACUCUUGCUUUGGUUUGGCCUAGAGAUAGGUUGGGCCAGAGGUUUAACAAAACACAAUUUAAUUAUUUUUACAGUUAGUCAAAUUUUGAAUUAAUCUUCAAAACUUUCAACAACGGAUCUCUUGGUUCUCGCAUCGAUGAAGAACGCAGCGAAAUGCGAUAAGUAAUAUGAAUUGCAGAUUUUCGUGAAUCAUCGAAUCUUUGAACGCACAUUGCGCCCUCUGGUAUUCCAGAGGGCAUGCCUGUUUGAGCGUCAUUUCUCUCUCAAACCCCCGGGUUUGGUAUUGAGUGAUACUCUUAGUCGGACUAGGCGUUUGCUUGAAAAGUAUUGGCAUGGGUAGUACUGGAUAGUGCUGUCGACCUCUCAAUGUAUUAGGUUUAUCCAACUCGUUGAAUGGUGUGGCGGGAUAUUUCUGGUAUUGUUGGCCCGGCCUUACAACAACCAAACAAGUUUGACCUCAAAUCAGGUAGGAAUACCCGCUGAACUUAAGCAUAUCANNNNCGGGAAGGAAANAACAUUACAGUAUUCUUUUGCCAGCGCUUAACUGCGCGGCGAAAACCUUACACACAGUGUCU
RNAcentral lists this ribosomal RNA (660 nucleotides) under Meyerozyma sp. AL-V. Its description in RNAcentral is "eukaryotic LSU rRNA". The stretch from base 187 to 340 matches the Rfam family "5.8S ribosomal RNA". Lineage: Eukaryota; Fungi; Ascomycota; Pichiomycetes; Serinales; Debaryomycetaceae. The record is from RNAcentral.